Molecule: ribosomal RNA, 381 nt
Filed under: uncultured bacterium
Lineage: Bacteria
Description: bacterial SSU rRNA
Rfam family: Bacterial small subunit ribosomal RNA
Source: RNAcentral
GAUGAACGCUAGCGGGAGGCCUAACACAUGCAAGUCGAACGGUAGAGGGGGCAACCCCUUGAGAGUGGCGAACGGGUGAGUAAUAUAUCGGAACGUGCCCAGUCGUGGGGGAUAACGUAGCGAAAGUUACGCUAAUACCGCAUACGAUCUAAGGAUGAAAGCGGGGGACCGUAAGGCCUCGCGCGAUUGGAGCGGCCGAUAUCAGAUUAGGUAGUUGGUGGGGUAAAGGCUCACCAAGCCAACGAUCUGUAGCUGGUCUGAGAGGACGACCAGCCACACUAGAACUGAGACACGGUCCAGACUCCUACGGGAGGCAGCAGUGGGGAAUUUGGACAAUGGACGCAAGCCUGAUCCAGCAAUGCCGCGUGCAGGAAGAAGGCC